GGACAACCCCCGUGACAAGCAGACACGCACACACACAAACACAGACAGACGCACACCGAGAAGCACGACGAAGGAUGGGCAAGUCGAACCCGCGACGCCGCAACAAGGCGUCCGCCAAGAACCGCCCAAAGGGUCACCAAGAUUGCACAGAGGUGGAAAAGGACGUCGCGGGCCACGUUGUCCUGGCACCGGCGCAGCCGCCCCAUACAUUCACCCCGCUCUGCGUGCAGCAACUGCGGGAGUCUCGAGAGUACGCUGUGCUGGAGGAUGCGUGCAGCGACAUUGCGUACUUUGCGCUGCAACUGCGGCACAACAACGACUUCUUGCGUGAAGCCGUGCCGCAGCGCCUCGCACAGCUGCUCAUCUUCUCCCCUCCCUAUGAGCCACCGCAGCUCAACACGAACGCAGAUGCAACGCCGGUGGUGGCAUCGCCAACGUUGUCGGCUGCAGCGACGGCGGGGGAGGAGGAGCCGCAACCGCACAAGGGCAUCCUGCACAUGCAGAUUGCGGCGGCAGAGGCGCUGCGCACUCUUGUUGUGAACAGUGAGCAGGACCGCGUCAUCGAUGCACUCACGAGCGCUGGCGCGGACGCGGCAUCAGGGGAUCGUUUCGCGGAAGGGCUGGCGCGCCUCGUGCAGGCGGGCUGGCAGCGUGUGCAGCAGGCCCGCCGACGCAUGGCGCCCGAGGAUUGGAUGGGCGUCAACGGUGAAGAAGGUGAAGAAGACGCUGGUAGUGGUGGUGGUGAUGAGGCCGCCGCGGAGGGUGAGGCCGAACCUGCUGCCGACGCGAGCGCGCGUCACCACCGCCGCCGUCAGUCCGGGUUCACGCGAAACUUGUAUUUCAUCCUCCUGCGCCACCUGGAGGAGGUGCUAGCGCUCGCCAGCGUGUGUGUGGAGGCGAGCGAGGUGUGCGCGCAGACGUUUUCCAGCACUUCGGCACUCCUGCUACUGCUCGACGUGCUGCGCGUAGCGAUCACGACGACGUGGGAGACGCUUCUGCACCCCUCCGCCGACUACUACGCCGAUGAAGCGCAGGUACCUGUGGCUAGCGAAACGGCGCUCGCCAUUCGUGCCUUCAAGCGGCGGGAGGCUGGCCUGCUCGCCUCGCUGGCGGUUAGCACAGCAGACUUGUUGCUCCUGCUCAGCCCCGAGAACCAGUCACUGGCGCAGGUGUUCACCGGAUCAAGCGAGGGCAACGGCGCAGCGGUGGCCGCCUCCUCAUCUUCGUUUCCAUCUGCAGCCGGCAGCAGCCCCGCCAUGACGGCAGAGCAGACGGCGUUCUUGAAUACUGUAGUCGACGCCGUCGACCUGCGUGCCUGGCUCGCGGAGAAGCCGGCAGUCGAAGUGCAGCUGCAGGAGCGCUUCUCCGACGCCUCCCUGCCCAGCUUCCUCGGUGCACAGCACACAGCUGUGGCAAUGGAGCGAGAGCGCGUCUUGCACGACCUUCUUCGCGCGACCCUCUCGAUCCAGGGCGUGCUCCUGCACAUUGCACCGGUUGCAGCGAACCUGCAGCGCGUCCUGCCGCUGCUAGAUGACACCCUGCACAAGGCGUCACUGCCAAUGCAUGUGUGGUGCGGUGUGCUGCCGCUUCUCAUGGGAACAUGCGAGCGCGCCGACGACGACGUGCGAGCGGCGGCAGCGACGCUGACCACGCACCGGCUGCGCAGCACUCAAGCGGCGGUCCGCCUACUGCAUGUGAUGGUGAACGCUGUGGGCGAGAAGAACGACACGGACCGGUACGAGGACGACGAAGCCGCGUUCGCCGCCAACCCACUGGCCAAGAUUCUGCAGUCAGGAGAGCUUCUCUACGCCUUCGGCCUCCUGCUAAAGGAUGUGCUCUGGAUGUCGCCGAACAGCGACUCCAGCGGUAACGCAGCCACCGUGGAGGGCCCCGCGCACCCGACGGCGACACGUGACGUCAUGGCUUGGCAGGCCCAGCAGCGCGCUCUGCGCGCUGAGGCCAGCUCGAACGCUGCGGCGACGGAGAUGCAGAUGGUGCUGCUCGCCACGGAAGUGAACGUGUGGGAGGUGGCAAGCACGCUGCUGCUGAUGCUCCCUGUGGCGAGCCUCGGCGAUCCUGCUCCGACGUGGCGGGCACUCUUGCAGGCCGUGCUGAGCCGCUAUCAGCUUCACCUCGACGCCGCGGCCAUGGAGGCGUCGGAGGGAGAGGGGCGCAGCGCACACGCGAACAUUCUGCAGCACUCCGCCCGCACGCAUCAGCUUCUCUGGAUGCAGCUUGAGUCGCUCGGGCAGAUGCUCUGGACGAUGCAGCGCAAGCAGAGCAAGGCGAGCGGUGGCAGCGCCGCGGUGACAGCCUGCAACCACGUCCAGGCGACAUCCGCGGAUGUCGACCUGCUCAUCCGUGUCUCCUGGGAGGCGUCGGCAAGCACGCUGCUGAGGCAGUCGUGCGUCGGCGCCGUGGGACUGCUGUGCGCGUCGAUGCAGCGUGAGGAGGCCGUGGCCACGGCGGCGCGCUUUGCCCUGGCCGUGGUCGCCAACGGCGGACCAGCGGCGACGUCCUACGGGAAGAAGCUCCUCGACGUGUACGCGCAACUUGUGCCAGGCAAAACGCCCACCUACCCCGCGGAGCGGCGGGUGUGGCUGCAGCAGCUUGCGCUGGCGGACGCCGCCGCCACGGUCCGCUGCGAAGCGGCGAACACCUUGAUAGAUCUCUUCCUCGACGAGCGCCACGACGCCGCCGUGUACUGGCCGCUGGGCGUACAAGAGAAGCUGAGCGACUUCAAGAGGCAGCUCGCCAUCUACGUGAAACGGCGUCAACAGCUGGAUAAGGAGACGAAGCGGCUCUACCACGUUUCGACGGAGACGCCAGAUGCAGAGCAGUGGUCGGAGGUGCUGGAGAACCUCUCCGGGUUUAUCGACUACAAGGCACACCACAAGUAGAGAAGCCUGUGCGCGUGUCGUCUGUGUAUGCCAGUCGCGGCGCCCCGAGUGAGCAGGGGGGAGGGGGUAUGCACUCGCCACCUCCUCCGCAGCCCUGUCUGUCCCCGUCCAUCGCCCCCUCUGUCAGCGGGCGUCGCCCUCUCUCCCCCUCCCCCCUCCUCCUCCUUCAGGACGACUCGGAAAGGCGCUUGCUAGCGCGCACGAACGCGAGUCGUUCUCGUCGCCGUCCGCAGCAGCGACAGCAGCAUCCGCGUGAGUGGCACACGGUACCCGCCGCACGCUGAUGAGAGGCGCCACGAAAGGAGAAAGGGGGGGGGGUGUCAAGAAUGCAUCGAAUAAGCGGAAGAUAAAGAACAUAACCAUAAUCGAGCAAGGCUAUCCAAAUACAGGGAGCUCGAACAACGCAGAAGCCGCAAUGCCCCUCCCCUACCCUCUCCUUCCUGUGAUGCCGCGUCCGCAUUCCGUGGUGGUUCGCGUGGUCGUCAGCAAUGGAUGCCGCGGUACUCAAGGUUCGCGCCACGGCCAGCCACGGUGACGCUCGAGGGAAACCACAGCAGCGGCACGCAAGACGAACAGGGGAGGGAUAAGGGGAUCCUGAAAAGGAAAAGGAACGCAGGAGAAGAGUAGGGGCUACGAGUCGGCCGAAGUCGCACGCAGCUUCGCGGCCUCCCGCCGUCCAGGCCGAGCACGUGUGGCUGUGAGGAAGCACGGGGGAGGGGCCUGAGGUGCACCACGCAGCGCAUCCCUUUCACCUCUGAGAAGAGAAAUCGUGAGGCACUGAGUGGGAGGGAGUCUGGUGUUGUACUCGUCCGACCGUGUCCUCCGCUCCCUGACACACAGCCGACUCUUGCCCCCUCCGCCACGCAUCUGCGCGCAGUCCACAUGUGUUGAGCCCUAGCCCCUCACCCUCGCUCCGUUGCCCUCCUCUCUGCUCAAACCCUCACACGGCACAUCCGCUCUCUUAUCCACCGCUCUAUGGCUGCGCCAG
RNAcentral lists this unclassified non-coding RNA (3888 nucleotides) under Leishmania donovani. Its description in RNAcentral is "gene:LdHU3.05.0910(CDS-product:hypothetical_prote in_conserved)". Lineage: Eukaryota; Euglenozoa; Kinetoplastea; Trypanosomatida; Trypanosomatidae. The record is from RNAcentral.